GACGAACGCUGGCGGCGUGCCUAAUACAUGCAAGUCGAGCGGACGAAUCGAAAGCUUGCUUUUGAUUCGUUAGCGGCGGACGGGUGAGUAACACGUGGGCAACCUGCCCUGUAGACGGGGAUAACACCGAGAAAUCGGUGCUAAUACCGGAUAACACGAAAUGUCGCAUGACGUUUCGUUGAAAGACGGCGCAAGCUGCCGCUACAGGAUGGGCCCGCGGCGCAUUAGCUAGUUGGUGAGGUAACGGCUCACCAAGGCGACGAUACGUAGCCGACCUGAGAGGGUGAUCGGCCACACUGGGACUGAGACACGGCCCAGACUCCUACGGGAGGCAGCAGUAGGGAAUCUUCCGCAAUGGACGAACGUCUGACGGAGCAACGCCGCGUGAGCGAAGAAGGCCUUCGGGUCGUAAAGCUCUGUUGUUAGGGAAGAACAAGUAACGCAGUAACUGGCGUUACCGUGACGGUACCUAACGAGAAAGCCACGGCUAACUACGUG
RNAcentral lists this ribosomal RNA (498 nucleotides) under uncultured bacterium. RNAcentral's name for it is "partial 16S ribosomal RNA". It matches the Rfam family "Bacterial small subunit ribosomal RNA", at positions 28 to 507 of the family's 1533-position model. The record is from RNAcentral.